RNAcentral lists this long non-coding RNA (361 nucleotides) under Brassica napus (rape). RNAcentral's name for it is "long non-coding RNA (BNAP_LNC006073)". Lineage: Eukaryota; Viridiplantae; Streptophyta; Magnoliopsida; Brassicales; Brassicaceae. The record is from RNAcentral.
AUUAAUUUUGAAUUACUUAAAUUCAAUAAAAAUAUUUUUUUUUAUAAAUUAACCAUUAUCUAAAUAUCCCAAUAUAAAUAUAUUUGUAUGACGAGGUUAAUUAUUUAAAACCCAACUCUAAACCCUAAACGAUCAAUCCUAAACCCUUUUUUUAAAUACGAACGCUAAACCCUAAACCAUCAAUCAAAAACCCUACUCUUUUUUCUCAAAUAUGAACCCUAAACCCUGAAACAUCAACUCGAAAUCCUAUACCCCGAAACAUCAACUCUAAACCCUAACCUUUAACUCUAAACCCUAAACCAUCAACACUAAACCUAAACUAUCAACACUAUACCCUAAAAAGUAAACUCUAAACCCUAAA